RNAcentral lists this ribosomal RNA (510 nucleotides) under uncultured bacterium. RNAcentral's name for it is "partial 16S ribosomal RNA". It matches the Rfam family "Bacterial small subunit ribosomal RNA", at positions 28 to 507 of the family's 1533-position model. The record is from RNAcentral.
GACGAACGCUGGCGGCGUGCUUAACACAUGCAAGUCGAACGAAGAGCGACGGAAGCUUGCUUCUAUCAAUCUUAGUGGCGAACGGGUGAGUAACGCGUAAUCAACCUGCCCUUCAGAGGGGGACAACAGUUGGAAACGACUGCUAAUACCGCAUACGAUCUAAUCUCGGCAUCGAGGAUGGAUGAAAGGUGGCCUCUACAUGUAAGCUAUCACUGAAGGAGGGGAUUGCGUCUGAUUAGCUAGUUGGAGGGGUAACGGCCCACCAAGGCGAUGAUCAGUAGCCGGUCUGAGAGGAGGAACGGCCACAUUGGGACUGAGACACGGCCCAGACUCCUACGGGAGGCAGCAGGGGGGAAUCUUCCGCAAUGGACGAAAGUCUGACGGAGCAACGCCGCGUGAGUGAUGACGGCCUUCGGGUUGUAAAGCUCUGUUAAUCGGGACGAAAGGCCUUCUUGCGAAUAGUGAGAAGGAUUGACGGUACCGGAAUAGAAAGCCACGGCUAACUACGUG